AACGUAGGACGCAAGCGUUAUCCGGAGUUACUGGGCGUAAAGGGCGGGCAGGCGGUCUGACACGUCGGAUGUGAAAGCGCGCGGCUAAACCGAGCGAGGCCAUUCGAUACGGUGAGACUGGAAGGCAGCAGAGGUAGGCGGAAUUCCGGGUGGAGUGGUGAAAUGCGUAGAGAUCCGGAGGAACACCAGAGGCGAAGGCGGCCUACUGGGCUGCACCUGACGCUGAGCCGCGAAAGCCAGGGGAGCGAACGGG
RNAcentral lists this ribosomal RNA (253 nucleotides) under uncultured bacterium. Its description in RNAcentral is "partial 16S ribosomal RNA". It matches the Rfam family "Bacterial small subunit ribosomal RNA", at positions 524 to 776 of the family's 1533-position model. The record is from RNAcentral.